RNAcentral lists this long non-coding RNA (844 nucleotides) under Triticum aestivum (bread wheat). RNAcentral's name for it is "long non-coding RNA (TAES_LNC015103)". The record is from RNAcentral. Lineage: Eukaryota; Viridiplantae; Streptophyta; Magnoliopsida; Poales; Poaceae.
GCAGAGAACAUAUACGUCAUCAUCAAUAAGAAACAUGAGAUCACUCGUCGUGCAUGCAUCAAACUUCACCAUGGCCGCUCCACCGCACAUGGCCGGCGGGGGCGGCGUAAUGUACCCAAAGACGUACACACUGCAUUUACAAAUUAGAUCGGAUGGCAUUAAUUCAUUGAAAUGCACCUAAAAACAAUCGGAUGGCAUCCCUAAUUGUUUACCAGAAUUUGUAAUUAAAUUAAAUUCAUACAAACCAUGAACAGAAGAAAAAUCCCCAAAUCUAAAUUUUGGACUAUUUGCAUGUGGCAUAUGGGCAUAGAAGGCAUCCUCCUGUUCAAUUGACCCUAUAAAAAUUAGACGAGAAAUAGUUGCCAACUGUACGAGGAGAUACAACCAUGUCGUGCCACUUACCAGAUCUGUGGUGGUUCUUGGCAUAACCUGAACGAAGGAAUAAGAAGAAGAUCAGUCGGAGUUAAUGAAGCUCCACCAGAAUUGUUGCCGUGAGGAAUUAUGUAUGUAUAUGGUAGUGAGACAAAUCGAACAGGUACCUGGCAUAUGAUUGGUGGGCUUCAAAAGCAGCUAAUUGCAGUUGGAGAACUUGGAGCAGGAUUCACAUCAACGGGAAAAAGAACAAGGCGUCGCUGGAGUGCACCUCCGGUCUUAUUUCACCCAUGGCCACCGUGCCGAAAAGCAACCUGGUUCACGUCAUCACAAUUGGCGAUGAGAAGAUGGACCUUCCGAUCGAACUGUUCUUAGCCGCCGCUGUAGCCGUCCAUCCAUGUGAGCCGCCGCGGCAGCUGGAUGCCAAUGAAACAGGAGGAGAGAUGGAUAAGCGGUCAAAUGGAUAAGGUGG